RNAcentral lists this long non-coding RNA (422 nucleotides) under Nicotiana benthamiana. RNAcentral's name for it is "long non-coding RNA (NBEN_LNC037017)". The record is from RNAcentral. Lineage: Eukaryota; Viridiplantae; Streptophyta; Magnoliopsida; Solanales; Solanaceae.
CACUUCGGUCAACGUUCUGUUUGGCCUAGAGGUUUGCCAUUGGAAAAUGUGGGUGAGCUUGGACAUGAAGAGUUUUACACUGAGAUUUUUGGUGGACGGCAGUUUAUCCAGCAAGGGAUCUCGAAUGGUUUACCUGAUGUGGAUUCAGUAUUUUAUUUUACUAGGAAGUCAGGGCUUGAAGCUUAUAUCCAUUUCGGGCAACGUUCCGUUUGGCCUAGAGGUUUGCCAUUGGAAAAUGUGGGUGAGAUUGGACAUGAGGAGUUUUACACUGAGAUUUUUGGUGGAAGGCAGUUUAUCCAGCAAGGGAUCUCGAAUGGUUUACCGGAUGUGGAUUCAGUGUUUUAUUUUACUAGGAAGUCAGGGCUUGAAGCGUUUGAUAUUAGAUUCGAUGAGCAUGCACCAAAAGUGGCGUUGCCCCAGGG